CAUUAACCAGAUUUUCCCUCUUCAAAUUAAAGCAACUCUCUAAUUUCCAUUUAUUUCUUCUAGUCUGGAUUUAGGAAACAAUUUGUUUCUUCCAUCUCCUCUGCACUGAUCUUCAAUAUAAUGUGAAAUUUCUAACUGAAGAAAAUAUUGAAGUCCUUACUUCAAAAGAGUGAUGAAGUCCUUACUUACAACAGUUUUUGGCACAGGUGUACAUGAUUGCUUUGGAGCAGAUGGAAGAUAUUUGGCCCAACCUUGCAGGAAACAGUGCACCCAAGAAAAGGCACAAAUUGUUACCAUGCAGUCUGAGGUCUUCUCACAUGAUAUUAGACGCCAAGCCCAGCUGUAGAAGACCCAAAUGUGGCAGAAGCAGACCCAGCUGUGGCCCGGAUGGCCUCGUGCUACCGGUGGGAACGAGAGGAUCAUCUCAAUGAAGAUGCCCAGAGAACCAUAAACCACAAAAUGGCAAAGAGGUGAAAGCAGCUAAAUCCACAAUCUCUUGAGACUGGACAGGGCUGAACUGAGUAAAUUCCAGUUUACCAUCUCUCCCAUCAGUCAUCAUACCGAAAAGAAAAAAAAAAAAAAUACCAGCAAUAAGAAGUGAACACAAGAUUUGGAACAGAGGGACCUUAAUGCUUGCUUUAUUGUUAUUGACCAGAUAACUAGAAUUAUCUGCAUUAUCUAUGCAGAAUGGGGUUUUUAUUAUUUUUACUUAAAGAACUCCCUUUGGGGGAAUAACAAAACUUUGUAAAAGCCUGGUUUUCUCAACACACCUUUAAAUGUUUUUAAAUAGUUUCAUAUCUGGUCAAGAUUCUUAAGAAUUUCACUUUUAAAUUGUGUGAAGUUACACCUGAUCUCUUCAAAAGUUCACACACUGCAAGCACAAGUUUAAAUAAAGGUCUUUAAAUUUGAAAAAAUGUGUAAAAAUUAUUUUUAAAAUAAUUAGUGUCAAAGUCAAUAAAGUGAAAUUGAUCUUGUCUCUUACUAUAUUUCAUCCUAGGUG
This 1000-nucleotide long non-coding RNA is filed under the name Sarcophilus harrisii (Tasmanian devil). RNAcentral describes it as "lncRNA (ENSSHAG00000021839.1)". The record is from RNAcentral. Lineage: Eukaryota; Metazoa; Chordata; Mammalia; Dasyuromorphia; Dasyuridae.